RNAcentral lists this ribosomal RNA (206 nucleotides) under uncultured bacterium. RNAcentral's name for it is "partial 16S ribosomal RNA". It matches the Rfam family "Bacterial small subunit ribosomal RNA", at positions 568 to 774 of the family's 1533-position model. The record is from RNAcentral.
CGCGUAGGUGGUUUUUAAGUCAGAUGUGAAAUCCCUAGGCUCAACCUAGGAACUGCAUUUGAAACUGAAAAACUAGAGUCUCGUAGAGGGAGGUAGAAUUCUAGGUGUAGCGGUGAAAUGCGUAGAUAUCUGGAGGAAUACCUGUGGCGAAAGCGGCCUCCUAAACGAAUACUGACACUGAGGUGCGAAAGCGUGGGGAGCAAACA